GACAUCGAGCACGCCAGGUAAGUUCGCGUACUGCCACCGGCAGCGUAUCCUGUAUAAGUGUAUGGUCCGCCGUCUGAAACGCAUCACCUCGUUCAUCACGGCGUCCUGGUAAGUAAAAGUCUUGGUGGCUCGACAUGAAAAUUAUGCGACGGCCGCUGUAACGUGUACAAGUCACACCAUUCUCAUCAGAUCUGCAUCUGGACAGCAGGUUCCACACAUGACCUGUUGCGGCGCCGGGGGCGUCGGCUAGCGCUCACCCGUUCCCGUGCGCUGCGUCUCGGGCCGUCAGCGUGACGUCACGGCGUCAUCGGGCGGCGUCACUCGGUCAUCGGGCGGCGCCGAUCCGUCAGCGGGCCCGCCCCGACGGCGGCCGCCACUUCUGGUGCUGUCGCCCGUCGGGCUAGCCUU
This 408-nucleotide unclassified non-coding RNA is filed under the name Amphibalanus amphitrite. Its description in RNAcentral is "sodium channel protein 60E-like, transcript variant X2". Lineage: Eukaryota; Metazoa; Arthropoda; Thecostraca; Balanomorpha; Balanidae. The record is from RNAcentral.